RNAcentral lists this ribosomal RNA (245 nucleotides) under uncultured bacterium. Its description in RNAcentral is "partial 16S ribosomal RNA". It matches the Rfam family "Bacterial small subunit ribosomal RNA", at positions 15 to 252 of the family's 1533-position model. The record is from RNAcentral.
GAUCAUGGCUCAGGACGAACGCUGGCGGCGCGCCUAACACAUGCAAGUCGAACGAGCGAGAGAGAGCUUGCUUUCUCGAGCGAGUGGCGAACGGGUGAGUAACGCGUGAGGAACCUGCCUCAAAGAGGGGGACAACAGUUGGAAACGACUGCUAAUACCGCAUAAGCCCACGACCCGGCAUCGGGUUGGAGGGAAAAGGAAGUAAUCCGCUUUGUAGAUGGCCUCGCGUCCGAUUAGCUAGUUGG